Molecule: unclassified non-coding RNA, 288 nt
Filed under: Hevea brasiliensis (rubber tree)
Lineage: Eukaryota; Viridiplantae; Streptophyta; Magnoliopsida; Malpighiales; Euphorbiaceae
Source: RNAcentral
AUUUGGUAUUGGUUUGAAGGCACCUACUUUCCAUGAGGUGCGAGUUCCCUUAUUGAAUAAAGAAGUUGCUAAUGUGAGGAGUUCAUUGAAGUCUUAUGAAGAUGAAUGGGCAAAGCAUGGUUGUUCUAUAAUGGUAGAUAGUUGGACUAAUAAGAAGCAAAGGACCUUGAUUAAUUUAUUGGUGAAUUCUUCGAAAGGAACCGUUUUCAUUGAAUCUAUUGACGCUUCAGAGUAUUCAAAGACCGAUGAAAAGAUGUUUGAGCUUCUUGAUAGAUUCGUGGAGCGUAU